AGUACGGUCGCAAGAUUAAACUCAAGGAAUUGACGGGGGCCUGCACAAGCGGGUGGAGCAUGUGGUUUAAUUCGAAGCAACGCGCAGAACCUUACCAGCGUUUGACAUCCCGCGCUACAUUCAGAGAUGAAUGGUUCCCUUCGGGGACGCGGUGACAGGUGCUGCAUGGCUGUCGUCAGCUCGUGUCGUGAGAUGUUGGGUUAAGUCCCGCAACGAGCGCAACCCUCGUCCUUAGUUGCCAUCAUUCAGUUGGGCACUCUAAGGAAACCGCCGGUGAUAAGCCGGAGGAAGGUGGGGAUGACGUCAAGUCCUCAUGGCCCUUACACGCUGGGCUACACACGUGCUACAAUGGCGGUGACAGUGGGCAGCCACCUCGCGAGAGGGAGCUAAUCCCCAAAAGCCGUCUCAGUUCGGAUUGUUCUCUGCAACUCGAGAGCAUGAAGGCGGAAUCGCUAGUAAUCGCGGAUCAGCAUGCCGCGGUGAAUACGUUCCCAGGCCUUGUACACACCGCCCGUCACACCAUGGGAGUUGGUUUCACCCGAAGGCAGUGCGCUAACCGCAAGGAGGCAGCUGACCACGGUGGGAUCAGCGACUGGGGUG
Molecule: ribosomal RNA, 600 nt
Filed under: uncultured bacterium
Lineage: Bacteria
Description: bacterial SSU rRNA
Rfam family: Bacterial small subunit ribosomal RNA
Source: RNAcentral